This 155-nucleotide ribosomal RNA is filed under the name uncultured Lactococcus sp. RNAcentral's name for it is "partial 16S ribosomal RNA". It matches the Rfam family "Bacterial small subunit ribosomal RNA", at positions 28 to 177 of the family's 1533-position model. The record is from RNAcentral. Lineage: Bacteria; Bacillati; Bacillota; Bacilli; Lactobacillales; Streptococcaceae.
GACGAACGCUGGCGGCGUGCCUAAUACAUGCAAGUUGAGCGCUGAAGGUUGGUACUUGUACCAACUGGAUGUGCAGCGAACGGGUGAGUAACUCGUGGGGAAUCUGCCUUUGAGCGGGGGACCACUUUUGGAAACGAAUGCUAAUACUGCAUAAA